AUGUGGACAGUAUGGGAGUGAGAAUGUUGGCAUGAGUAGCGAGAUGUGGGUGAGAAUCCCACAGGCCGUAAACCCAAGGUUUCCAGGGGAAGGUUCGUCCGCCCUGGGUUAGUCGGGACCUAAGCUGCGGCCGAAAGGCGUAGGUGAUGGACAACAGGUUGAUAUUCCUGUACUACCGAUAACCGUUUGAGAGAUGGGAUGACACAGUAGGAUAAGCUAAGCACACUGUUGGUUAUGUGUGCCCAAGCAUUGAGGCAGUCAAAGUAGGUAAAUCCGCUUUGAUAAUGCUGGGAUGUGAUGGGGAGCGAAAUUUAGUAGCGAAGUAGCUGAUUUCACACUGUCAAGAAAAGUCUCUAUCGAGGUUAAAGGUACCCGUACCGCAAACCGACACAGGUGGGUGAGGAGAGUAUCCUAAGGCCAGCGAGAGAACUGUUGUUAAGGAACUCGGCAAAAUGACCCCGUAACUUAGGGAUAAGGGGUGCCACCAUCAGGUGGCCGCAGAGAAUAGGCCCAAGCGACUGUUUACCAAAAACAUAGGUUUCUGCUAAGUCGCAAGACGAUGUAUAGGAGCUGACGCCUGCCCGGUGCUGGAAGGUUAAGGGGAUCUGUUAGAGCAAUCGAAGCAGUGAACUUAAGCC
RNAcentral lists this ribosomal RNA (638 nucleotides) under Clostridioides difficile. RNAcentral describes it as "bacterial LSU rRNA". It matches the Rfam family "Bacterial large subunit ribosomal RNA", at positions 1271 to 1919 of the family's 2925-position model. Lineage: Bacteria; Bacillati; Bacillota; Clostridia; Peptostreptococcales; Peptostreptococcaceae. The record is from RNAcentral.